GACAGAGGUGCCGAGCGUUAGGCGGAAUCACUGGGCUUAAAGCGUGUGUAGGCGGGCGGGCAAGUACCUUGUGAAAUCCCACGGCUCAACCGUGGAACGGCUGGGUAUACUGCCUGUCUCGAGCCAACUAGGGGCGAGCGGAACAGACGGUGGAGCGGUGAAAUGCGUAGAUAUCGUCUGGAACGCCAAAGGUGAAAACAGCUCGCUGGGGUUGUGCUGACGCUGAGACACGAAAGCCAGGGGAGCGAACGGG
Molecule: ribosomal RNA, 253 nt
Filed under: uncultured bacterium
Lineage: Bacteria
Description: partial 16S ribosomal RNA
Rfam family: Bacterial small subunit ribosomal RNA
Source: RNAcentral